AGCGAACGCUGGCGGCAGGCUUAACACAUGCAAGUCGAGCGGGCGUACGAAUACGUCAGCGGCAGACGGGUGAGUAACGCGUGGGAACGUACCUUUUGGUUCGGAACAACACAGGGAAACUUGUGCUAAUACCGGAUAAGCCCUUACGGGGAAAGAUUUAUCGCCGAAAGAUCGGCCCGCGUCUGAUUAGCUAGUUGGUGAGGUAACGGCUCACCAAGGCGACGAUCAGUAGCUGGUCUGAGAGGAUGAUCAGCCACAUUGGGACUGAGACACGGCCCAAACUCCUACGGGAGGCAGCAGUGGGGAAUAUUGGACAAUGGGGGCAAGCCUGAUCCAGCCAUGCCGCGUGAGUGAUGAAGGCCCUAGGGUUGUAAAGCUCUUUUGUGCGGGAAGAUAAUGACGGUACCGCAAGAAUAAGCCCCGGCUAACUUCGUGC
RNAcentral lists this ribosomal RNA (436 nucleotides) under alpha proteobacterium S24520. RNAcentral's name for it is "bacterial SSU rRNA". It matches the Rfam family "Bacterial small subunit ribosomal RNA", at positions 29 to 508 of the family's 1533-position model. The record is from RNAcentral. Lineage: Bacteria; Pseudomonadati; Pseudomonadota; Alphaproteobacteria.